Long non-coding RNA from Carassius gibelio (silver crucian carp), 2091 nucleotides. RefSeq lists it as uncharacterized. The record is from RefSeq and is a predicted model, not a curated record. The transcript is spliced from 3 exons. NCBI's taxonomy places the organism in Eukaryota, Metazoa, Chordata, Actinopteri, Cypriniformes, Cyprinidae.
CAGACAGCAAGCCAACAUUGAAUAAACAUUGUUUUUCCAUCUGAAUCAUCAUUAUGGUUGAUAUUGAAAUUUCAAUGCAAAAUAAAUGUUGAAUCAACAUUACCAUAUCGAUGAAAACCUGAUGUUAUUAAUGUUGAUGGCAACAAUAUUGGAACAACAUUGAUCCAUAGUUAUCUUUAUGAUUGAUUAAGCAUUGAUAUUUGGUUACCGGGUGAUCCCUGAAUGUGUUGAAAAGUAAUUGAUUUAUAGUGGACAGAGAAACGAUGCGGUUGUUGAAAAGUCAUCGAAAUAUAGUUGACCGGGAAAUAUGAUAGAAAGUGCAUCGAAAUAUAGUUGACCAGGAAAUAUGAUUGAAAAUCCAUCGAUUUUUGGUUGACCGGGAGAUCAACGGGUGGUAUACCCAACGUACUGCACCGGACACAGCUCAUUUCUGGACCCUUGGCACAAGCGUACAGGUAAGCUUGCUUAAUGUUCGAUAUGAAUCCAGACAGCACAGGCACGCGGUGUGUUUUUAUACAGUCUAUGGGCAGCUGAAGAGACUGGCUCAUUUUCAAAUAAUGUUACCGUUAACUUGUUUAGACAACGGUCACGGUAAAUUAAUGUUAAAGCCUUGAGUUUCCAGCAGUUUCUCGGAGGGAAAAUGUAAAAGCGGUUUAUUAAAGAGAAGUCCUGACUGCUUUUUCGUCGUGUUUUUCACUCUUUUACAGGCUGCCAGAAAGAAUCCGUCUCUAUAGUGAGUGAUUAUUGAAUGAGGCUGUACAUUAUAAAUGUAAUGUUUUAACUCGAGAUGUUUGUUUGUGUGAAUGCUGUGUGUUGCGGUGAGUUCUGCGCGAGCGGGGAGCAGAGUUGCCAUGGAAACGGGGCGUCAACACAAAAACCGUUACUGGCAAGCAGUAAUCUCCGUCUCUCGCUGCGGUUUACGCUGUUUUAGGUAAGUUUAGUCGCUAAAAUCACACAAAUAUGAUAUACAAAUGUUUCUGACAAGUUUCUUACUUGUUAUUGACAUGUUUCAAUUAAAUUUAUUUUAUAGAAAUGGUUUAAUGUCUUCGAAAAAGUCCGUUAGCGUCUUAGCAGUUUUCAGGUAACGUUAGGCUAAUUUUGAGCUCUUGUUGAUGAAACUCUGGGCUUUUCAUCAAAUCUUCGUGUAUGAGAUAUUUUGAUGGCUCUGUGAAUGUUUUGCUGGUGAUUUGUCAGUGUUUUUUUUGGAAAAGGCUGAUUUACUGAAUCGAUGACGUCACUUACACUGAGAGUGUAACGUUAAUCGGCUGAAAACAAGUUCACAUGAGUGUUUAUAUUUCAUGAUAAACAGAUAUUAAUACAAAUUGUUCUGUGAUUUCAGGAGGACAGAAAUAAACUAUACAGAACAAAGUGAAACUCCAAGAUUUUUGAAAAGAAAAUUGGUGAAAUAUAUUCUGAAAAAGGCAUAUUAAUGUAUUUCAUGAGCUUCUUCAGUAAAUCUGUAUUUCUAAGUCAGUAUCUCCCUUCAGAAAUGUUGCUGAAGGGAGAUACUGACUUAGAAAUACAGGUGAACUCAUGAAAAUAAGCUCAUGAAAUACUCAUGAAAGAAGCUCAUGAAAUACAUUAAUAUGCCUUUUUCAGAAUAUAUUUCACCAAUUUUAAGGAGUCCCUGACAUCAAAACGUAAGUCACACUCAACCUAAAAUUAAAAAUAUAGAUUCUGUUAUUUUAAGAUUAUAUUAUUAGUAGUAGAAUUUGUAUAUUACAUAUGUUAUUAUUGUUGUUAUAUAUAUUAUUCUGUCUUUUAUCUGCAUUUUACCUCUGCUUUAUCUUGUUUCCUUCUAAUGAACCUGAAACAGCAGAGUAAAUAUCGUUGUCUCUGUGUCAGCUUGUUUUGUUCCUGGACUCUUCAGUGAUGAUGAGCAGAGUCUGAGUGAACCUGCUGUCAGACAAUCACUAUUGCACACCAAAUGCUCUUACUCAGCAGAUGGGGACAGCUACCAUCACCCAAUUUUCACCCAAAAGUGGCUGCGCUAUGCGCCAGACCGGGCAGGAGGGACUGGACGACAACUUAUGCAGGCAUCAGAUGACAAUGAAGUGUAAAUAAAGAGUAGAGGCUAAUAAACAGGAAUUU